UGAAAAACCAGUUCCUGUAUGAUCAUCGAAGUUAAGCAACACCGAGCCCGGUCAGUACCUAGAUAGGUGACCACUUAGGAAUACCAGAUGCUGUAA
Acanthosepion pharaonis is the source of this 96-nucleotide non-coding RNA. The record is from the annotation of a GenBank genome assembly. NCBI's taxonomy places the organism in Eukaryota, Metazoa, Mollusca, Cephalopoda, Sepiida, Sepiidae.